CAAAGAGCAACCUCCCUGUGGCCACCCGCCCCAUAAAUCAUCAGCUACCAAGGGCUACUGAAUUACCUUUAGAAGAUGGAUGACUCCGGAGCUGGAAGGCUGCUUGAUAAGGGUUCCCUUUGAAUAAUUCUAUGUAGAAAGCUGGGUUUGAGAAAUGGGGUCGAUCUAGCAGCUCAGCUCCAUCCAUGCUGCCUCUGCCAGGUGCUUUCAAGAUAAACACGUUUCCUUAUGGGCUGCCAGAGCGUCUGCGACGAAGGAAGAAAACUUACUGCCAGGUCUCAGGGAAGUAUCUACUUCUGCCCAAGGCACAAAAGGGAG
This 318-nucleotide long non-coding RNA is filed under the name Mustela putorius furo (domestic ferret). RNAcentral describes it as "lncRNA (ENSMPUG00000024976.1)". Lineage: Eukaryota; Metazoa; Chordata; Mammalia; Carnivora; Mustelidae. The record is from RNAcentral.